This 233-nucleotide long non-coding RNA is filed under the name Ananas comosus (pineapple). Its description in RNAcentral is "long non-coding RNA (ACOM_LNC033108)". Lineage: Eukaryota; Viridiplantae; Streptophyta; Magnoliopsida; Poales; Bromeliaceae. The record is from RNAcentral.
AUAUUUUUCAGAUCCACAUAUGAGCGGCGCGGCGGCGCGAGGAAAGGGCGUAGCUCGGUAGAUAAGACCAGAGAUAAAAGUACCCUGAGUCAGCAUAGCUUAGGGGUGUAAAAAAGAAAAGACUAAAUUUGUAAUAAGUUGAUUGAAUUUGAAAGUUGAAUGUAAAAUUUAAUAUAAAUGUGAUGUAAAAUGAGCUGAAUGCUUGUAAUAGCUUAAUAAUUAUGUUGUUGAUA